AAAGAAGCAGAGGGGGCUUAGUGGUGGGGUGACUGCGUACCUUUUGUAUAAUGGGUCAGCGACUUAUAUUCUGUAGCAAGGUUAACCGCAUAGGGGAGCCGGAGGGAAACCGAGUCUUAAUUGGGCGUUAAGUUGCAGGGUAUAGACCCGAAACCCGGUGAUCUAGCCAUGGGCAGGUUGAAGGUUGGGUAACACUAACUGGAGGACCGAACCGACUAAUGUUGAAAAAUUAGCGGAUGACCUGUGGCUGGGGGUGAAAGGCCAAUCAAACCGGGAGAUAGCUGGUUCUCCCCGAAAGCUAUUUAGGUAGCGCCUCGUGAAUUCAUCUCCGGGGGUAGAGCACUGUUUCGGCUAGGGGGCCAUCCCGGCUUACCAACCCGAUGCAAACUGCGAAUACCGGAGAAUGUUAUCACGGGAGACACACGGCGGGUGCUAACGUCCGUCGUGAAGAGGGAAACAACCCAGACCGCCAGCUAAGGUCCCAAAGUCAUGGUUAAGUGGGAAACGAUGUGGGAAGGCCCAGACAGCCAGGAUGUUGGCUUAGAAGCAGCCAUCAUUUAAAGAAAGCGUAAUAGCUCACUGGUCGAGUCGGCCUGCGCGGAAGAUGUAACGGGGCUAAACCAUGCACCGAAGCUGCGGCAGCGACACUAUGUGUUGUUGGGUAGGGGAGCGUUCUGUAAGCCUGCGAAGGUGGCCUGUGAGGGUUGCUGGAGGUAUCAGAAGUGCGAAUGCUGACAUAAGUAACGAUAAAGCGGGUGAAAAGCCCGCUCGCCGGAAGACCAAGGGUUCCUGUCCAACGUUAAUCGGGGCAGGGUGAGUCGACCCCUAAGGCGAGGCCGAAAGGCGUAGUCGAUGGGAAACGGGUUAAUAUUCCCGUACUUGGUGUUACUGCGAAGGGGGGACGGAGAAGGCUAUGUUGGCCGGGCGACGGUUGUCCCGGUUUAAGCGUGUAGGUGUGUGUUCCAGGUAAAUCCGGUU
Molecule: ribosomal RNA, 978 nt
Filed under: Salmonella enterica
Lineage: Bacteria; Pseudomonadati; Pseudomonadota; Gammaproteobacteria; Enterobacterales; Enterobacteriaceae
Description: partial 23S ribosomal RNA
Rfam family: Bacterial large subunit ribosomal RNA
Source: RNAcentral